This 57-nucleotide transfer RNA is filed under the name Fukomys damarensis (Damara mole-rat). It matches the Rfam family "tRNA", at positions 8 to 63 of the family's 71-position model. From Rfam's summary of the family: Transfer RNA (tRNA) molecules are approximately 80 nucleotides in length. The record is from Rfam by way of RNAcentral. Lineage: Eukaryota; Metazoa; Chordata; Mammalia; Rodentia; Bathyergidae.
UAGCUCAGUGGUAGAGCCCUUGCCUUGUAUGCAUGAGGCCCUGGGUUUGACCCCCAG